UUUCAUUAUUUACCCCCUUUUAGCCAAAAGAGAUCGUAAAGAUCUCACUUUUACAAAACCCCCAAUUUCCUUCCCUUAGAUUAGGAAUCUAGGGUGGCCGAAAAUCGCUUCCGCUGCUCUUCCACCUUCAACCACCGUCCACCUACCCAUUGAUCACCGUUGACCACCGGCUGAUAAUCAUCUCCGCCGGCCGGAGUUUAUGAAAUUGCCCCAAACCACAUUUGUUCUUCUCCUCCUCUACACCCUCUCGUUAAGAUCCAGUCCCAAUUCUUACCCAACCACCACCAGAAUCGAAAUCCUAGCCUGUUAUGCCUCUUUUCAAUUUUACUCACAACUGUUGAUCACAUGACCUUGAAGCCUACACCAUCUGAUAGAAUUCACAAAGAUAUAUGUAGUGGUGUUGGUAUUAGGUCAUUUCACGAUCAUCGGCGCCGAUCAACUCAUCGUUGACCGACCAAAAUUCAUGCAAUACCUUCGUCACCACACUCGUUUGACUCCCAUGAGUCUUUCUUCCAAGAAGAUCCAUCAGGAUUCUAAAUCCAAGACGGAUCUCUUGGCGGAAAGACCUUGGAGGUCGAACAAAUCAAUGUCUGCCACCUAUGUUCUUUUCGGGCUCCUCCUAAUCUUAAAUGGUAUAUCCUAAAUCUCCAGUUCUUUUCUUACUUAUCUUGCACUGUUUGAAUGUGAUCUCAUGCGACCAUGUGUUUUCCUGUCAUUCAAUUUGUUUGCACAUUGGGUAUUAGGUUUUCUUUCUAGUUAUGGUUUGUUUGUUCCAAAUUAGUUGAUGAAAUCAAAUUGCAUGUUAAUUGACAAGUCUGGUAAUUUUUUAUCUAAUUGUGUGCAUUUAAGAUAAUUUAAAUUAAGUAGCUUGAUUGAUUAUUAGCAGCGUGAUUAUUGUCUAACUUUUGUUUAUUUAAUCAUAUGUUUACUUGUAGAAUUUAUUUAGUUUGGAAGUUAAGUCAAGUAUUAGAUUUUGAUGGAAGGAUUUGGGAAUUGAAACUAGUAAGUUGGGCCUGUUUUGAACAUCGGGCAGGCCCUGUAAUAAUCAAUUGGGCAUUUUGACCUUCUGGGUCAAACAUGAGGAAGAUCUAAAAUCAUUUUGGCCUAUUAUUGGGAUCAGAUGAUGUAAGAAGUAUAAAGAAAGAGAGUAAAAGGGAGGAGUGAGAAAACAUAAGCUUUUAGAAGGGAAUGAGUAAGCUAAAAUAAAUAAGAGAUGGAUUUCGGGGCUAAUUUAGAAAAAUUACCGAGGUAAUCUUAGAGGAAGCGGCUAGGAAUGAACUUGGGGAAUUUGUUUGGCUAAAGUACAUGGGCUUCCUAGAAUUAAGGUCAGAAGAAGGAAAUGCGGGGGAGAGCGACAGCUGGUAAUAAUUCUAUUGUCCAGAGGGCAUAGAAUCCUCUAGAAAUAAUUAUAGGGGGUUAAAAAGGGAACAAACAAAAAAUAGAAAACCCUAGAGUUAGCCUAUAAAUAUACCCAUUCUCUCAUUUGAGAGGGAGGAACAAGCAUUUUUAGAAGAAGUUCUUUUAUUCUGAAAAAUCCUUAGGAGAAAAAGAGGAACAUCAGUAGUUUUUUUUUCUCUAAAACCCUGCUAUUCUUCUCUGGGUUUUUUGAAGUCGAGUUUCUUGGCUUGAAUUGGAUCAUGUGAGUCUAAAAUCAGGGUUUCAAGAUUUGGAUUCUUGCUGUUGAAGGUGUGUUUUGCUGAACUCCAUCCUUUCUUGCCUUGAUUUGGCACCUCUGGUUUUGCUUGCUCUUGCUCAUUAGGUAAACACAUGGCACUUUGUAGAUAUAUUUAGUUGAAUGAUUAAAAGUAGUUGGUUAACUGAAUUUUCUGCCUGUUUCAUUUAAUUUUAAUCCUAUUUUUAUGACUAUGUGUGUUAUAGCUUUGGAUGAUUUGAAAUGAUAGUUGUUUAGCUCAUUAAAGCAUGCUAUAGAUGUAGUUAAGAUCAAUGAAAAUCAGUCAUUAAAAUAGCAUCAUGUCGAGCUCAAUUGAUUUCUCUCUCUAAUUGAUUUUGCUGUGCUUGUGCUUGAUUUAGUGAGCAUAUGAGUUUCUUUUGGAUGUUCUUUACUCAUUAAAAAUAGUUAUGGUGUUAUUUAGAUGUUGAGAUUGAAUGAGAGUCUACUGGAAUUAGAGUAAUUACUGUGAAGUGGACCUAGGAAGUGUUGGUUCUGAAAUAAAAUCCUAAUUAGCGUUUAACCAAGCUCAAAUAUCCAAGAGUACAAAAAUGGCUACUACUAUAAAUUAUUGAUUUUGAUUAGCUUAGCGUCAAGUACAAAAUGUUAUCUGCAAGUUGUUACACUCCGCAGUAUUACAACGAUGUUAUACUCCGUAGUAUUGUACGUUGGAUUUGUCAUAAAUUGACAUUAGUUUAAGGACAAGAUUAUUUUGAGGUUAUAAGUAUUACGUUAUUUCAAACAAGUGAUAAGUAAAUUCGUGAAGGUGAGAGGGUAAGCAAUUCGAAAAAAAUGAGUUUCGUCGAAGUUUGACAAUUUGGGAUAAAAUGCGGUCCAAACUAUAAUAUCCCGUAUUUAUGGACUAGUGCCAUACAAAGUACCAUAUGACCAUGAUAGUAAAGUGUAUAAAGUGUGUUAAAAGUAAUUAGUAUUUUAAGUAAUUUGAAAUAAUUCUUAAUUAUGUGGAUAAUUGGUAAUUUUUGAUUUUUAGUGGGUGAGUUAACAAGGUAAUUAAUUUUGGUGGAUAAGCUUAAAGGGACAUCACCCUCAACGUAGCAGCAAGGGGACUUAAGCAUCAAUGACUCUUUGGUGUAUAUAAUUAGGUGGCAUAUUUAGAGAUUUUUGGGAAAAAUAAUCCCCAAAAGUGGGCCCCACAAACUUCAAAGAUAAGAGAUAUUCAUACAUCAUUUAAGAGGGAUGUGCAUGUUGGUUAAGUAACGGAUGAAGCCUCCAAAAUAAUUCAUAUGGAACUUCAUAAUACUAUAGCAAUGUAAGAUUUGCGAUUCUAAGGAAAUACGGUGUAAUCUUUCUCAAGAAUAUCAUACGGAUUUUUUCCUAUUCCGAUCUCGCCGUUACUUGUUUCUUCGCGAUUGGCGUGUGUUAGAGUGAUUGUCAAGAGAAUCGGCUCAGGUAUGUUAAGACUAUCCCUUCUUUCCUUUUGGUAUGAUACAUACGAUACAAACGAAAUGAGCAAACGUACAUCUUUCAUAAAUACCUCUAUUCAUAGAAGCACUAGGGGUGCCUAUGUUCUUGAUUUCCCAUGUGUCUUAUUAUAUCUUCUGUUCAUGGGUCUCGAAAAAGAAAUGCGUAAUUGAUAAAGUUUAUCCGAAGACAUAUUGAUCUUAUGACAUUCCGAGAAAUCUUAUUAACUUAUUUCUUAUGCAUUUCAUUCAUUUAUACAUGUGCAUUGACGCAUGACCAGAUGACGUUAUAUAUGCGUAUAUUAUAUGUAUAUGGGAUAUUGAAAAAGGUUACGACAUUAUAUACGCACCACCAACUGAUCAGCUGUUAUACGUUGAUGAUUUUGCCUACAGUGGCCGAGAUGAUAUGAUGGGAUGCCCUCAGAGACUUGAUGAUGUUAUGUACGCAUAUACCUAUGCAUGACAUGACAUUUAUACGCACGUGCAUGGCAUUAUAAAUAUUUCAGGAUUCACAAAGUUAUUUAGACUUAUAGGUGGAAUUCUUUACUCCACGUUUCUUUUAUGUCUUUUAUGUACUUAUUUUCAUGCCUUACAUACUCAGUACUUUUUUUGUACUGACGUCCCUUUUGCCUAGGGACGAUGCGUUUCAUGCCCGCAGGUACCGAUAGACAAGUUGAGAAUCCUCCAAGUAGGCUAUCAAUUCAGUAGAAGGUGUUGGUGCACUUCAUUAGCUCCGGAAUUGCCUAUUUAGUUAGUAUGAUUUGGACAUGUAUGGAUUGGUAUAGCGGGGCCCUAUCUCGACCUUUAUGACAUUUAUGUACUCUUAGAGGCUUGUAGACAUAUGUCAUGUAUAUGGAUACUUGUAUGUCCUUGUAGGCCUAUGGUGUGAGUAUACAAAUGAUCAUGUCGGCCUUAUAGGCCCGUAUGUCAUAUGUAUAAGUCGGUACAUCACGUUGGGUCGUCCUAUGUCGAGUAUUUCCCUCAUGUUUUAUUCUAGUUAUGUCACGACAGCCCUUCCAGCUCAUUUACCUAUGAUAGUAUGAUACGACAGAUACGUUACGUUGGUACUCGGUUGAGUAAGGUACCGGGUGCCCGUCGUGGCCCAUCGGUUUGGAUCGUGACAAAAGUGGUAUCAGAGCAGUUCUGUCCUAGGAAGUCUACAAGUCGUGUCUAUAGAGUCUUAUUUAUGGGUGUGUUGUGUACCACACUUAUAAGCUGGAGGCUACAGGGUAUUUAGGACUGUCACUCUUUCUUCUUACUCUAGAUCGUGUGGUAGAGCUAACUUAUAAGAAUUCAAAUUCCUAAAUUCUAUUUUAUUCGUAGUAAGACGAUACCUACAUCCAAAGGAUAAUUAGUAAGAGGCUGCAUGUGGUUGUGGAAAAGUUGGGUUAGAGAAACUCGAUUUUGCCAUUCUUAUAAUGUAUAAAUGUGAGGUCUUCAGCAGAACAUGUGUAUACUAAGACGUGUAAGCUUCUUGAUAAGGAGUCUUAAGGCAAGAAUAUCUAUCCACCCAUAUGGUGAAAAGCAAUGAGAGAUUCAGAAGGUAGAUACAAGUUUCAACAAGUAAAAGAAUCAAGGUGAGGAAGGGUACGAGGCACCCAGUUAAUGAAAAUUAUCAGUAUUUACAAUUCAGGCAGAGAAAUAUAAGCAUUUUGAGUUAACUUCAAUAGUAACAGAUGUAUGUACAAUCGGCCACACUUAUCUCAGUUAUGCCCUAUGGGAGCUAACAGAUAUAGUUUAAGAGAAGGACGGGACAUCAGGAUCUGGCUGGGGUUAGAGUAACCCAAAAUGGUGGAUGGAUUGUUUACGUUAGUUGACAUUUCCGAAGGAUAUUGCAAAUGUGCUAAUAGAUCUCCUUGUGAGACACCCAGAUGGUGCACUCUAGAAUAGUAUAGCUAGAUAUGCAAAGAUAGGCAUCGAAAGUCGGAAGGGAUAAAUAUUACCUUAGUGUGGCUCCCGUCCCUAGUAGAGAGAGAAUGUUAGGUAACCCAAAGAGGUAGUGGAUGGAGCAAGAGGAGCUAAAAGGAAAAGAAUGUCUUGUUGAAGUUUUCAGAAUAAAGUGAUAGACAGAAAUAUUAGCAGGGAAAUAAGAAAAGAGAUAAUGAAGCAUUAUGAGUAAGAUGUGAUACAUGGAUGACAACGGUAGAUAAAAAAAAUGAUAGUAUUACAGAGUCUAUAGUCAAGUGAAGGAAAAGAUGAGAGGUGACAGGCCUUGAGACAACAAAAGAGUAUAGGCCAUAAUGUCAUAUCCUCAUUUUGAGAAAUAAGUUCGUGACUCCAACGCGACUACCAGAACGAAAAGUUAGACACCAGAGUAAUAGAAAUCAGUAUGAGCUGGUGAACAAGAUAAACUAAACAUGAAUUAAGGACUGAGUGAUUUGAUAAUAGUCGGCAUCAUGAGAAUUUCAGAGAUUGUGUUCCGGCGAUAAUAGAAUGGGCGACAGAAGAAUAACCUUUAAAGGUCAUUCAGGAAGACGCUUCCCUAAAGCAAGCAAUGUGAGCAAAGUUAAGCUUAAGGGACUAUGUGUGCCAGUUACACUAGGUGUCUCCCUCGUGAGUAAGGAAUUUUGUUGUCCUUGGUACAAAAGGAUUUCUGCAAGGCGAGUCAGGGUCAUCGAUGAUGUGAAAAGACGCCAAAGAUGAAGAGGUAAAAUAUCUAUACGUAGAUCAUCGUAGUACUAAAUCUUAGUACUCCCCUAAGGGGAGGGGGGGAUAUGGAGUGAUGUGGCAUUAAGUCAGAGUUAAGUGGUUCUAGAAACUAUGGAAUAAUAAAGGAAGAAUGCGAUAAAAAUGAGAAAGGGAGGAGAUUGCACUUAUUCAAACCCUACAGAUAUGCUACGAUCCCAUAACAUUAUACAAACACGGCGUCAAGGAGAAGAAGUAAGGGUUCCUAUGCGAGAUGUUAUUGAUAAAUAAGGAGCCAGUGCGAGAGGUAAGUUAAGGCAAAGGAAAUAACCCAAGAAAGAUUACGCGGAAUAUUGAUAUGAUAAUGGGCCAAUGAGUAGUUAGUAGUAAUUAAGGAAGAGCCUAAUUAUGGCUAGACAAGAGGAUACAAACAAAUCCACAGAUCGUGCAAGAUAAACAUAGUGAACCCCGACAUAGUUAAUUCAGUCUCGCAGAUAAUGAUAUCGUGAUCCUUAAAAAAUUUUCAAAUAAGAGUUGGGGUAGUUAAAUGCACUAGUUAAGUUUUACGAAAAUAAGAAAGAGUACCACUAAGGAGACAAUCAAAAUCUGAGUUCAGAAGUAAUCCUACGAGCACAAGGGUACAGAGGUAUGUAACUACGAAUAUUUAUAGGCGAGUAAGAACAUCGAAAAUUCCUUCGGGUAUACAAUAUAACGAGCAAUUUUACAAGAGUUAGAGGGUCUUCCCUAAGUACUACAACGAAAGACUAGCUGAGGAAAUAAGGAAGAAGGCUUCAACCUAAGCACAACGACCUAAAGAGGAAAUGGUCUUGUAAUAACAAUCUCACAACAACAUUGUAUGCACUCCAUAAGAAAGUGGCACCUAUCGUGGCUAAUGAACGGGAAGAAGAAAAAAAAUCAGAAGGUGAUAUUCAAGAUCAUAUGGCUUGUAUGGAAUUCCAAUAUGUGUGGGCACUAAGAUAAGCCAAGUAUUCAUGCAACAAGUGGCAGAACGACCAGGAAAAGUAAUUGCUUACAUUUAAAGAAAGUUGAGAAGGAACGAAAGGAAUUAUUUGAUCAAUGAUCCAGAGUUAGUUACGUUAUGAAUGCACUUAAGAUUUCGGAGUAUGGUAGAGAGACAAGGUUUUAGGAAGACAUGAGUAAGGAUAAGAAAAGGUGAGUGAGAAGGUGAUGAGAAUGGAUAAGUACUCGGGAUUAAGCCCAUGAAAACAAGAGCUCUGAUGGUUUCUCUAAGUUAUAGAAAGCUCAGUAUAACCUGAAUGAACUCAAAGGAGUCUAAGACUAGUAGCAUUUAGAAGAGAUGAAAUACUGCCCUGGUAGUAGAAUGAGGGUGUAAUUGUGAUAGAUAAAGGAUGAUGUUGGGCCUUCGAUUGAGUAAUGAUUUGAAGAAAAAAAAGGGAUUUCAUGAAUUAUAUAGGAUUAAAAUACCCCCAUAAGAUGAACCACGUAGGGAUGCCAUGAAAUGCGGUUAUUGAAGUAUAGUAUCGUCCCUAAGUGGAUCAGGAAAAUCACUUCAAAUAUUCCUCGAUGCAACGUGAGCCCUAGUGACAAUAUAUUACGUAAGAGGUUUCAAGUUAUCGGUGGUAGAUUGUAUAUCAAUAUUGAGGUGAAUCAACAAUAGAUGGAUAAAAGUUACAAAGUAUGAGAUGAUAUUAGGCCGUCAUUCUUAAGAUGAACAGUAAUGAGGAAGCAUUAAAGGACUUAGAUUUAUACAUAUAGGAUAAGCAAAGAGAGUAACCUGGAGUUUGGUAGCAGACCUUAGUAACGGUAAAUCGAAGUAAGAAUUAUGGUAUAGUAUGACCUACUUAGAUGUAGUAAAGCCAUAGAUGCCCAUAGGGACAACUUGUCAUAAUUUUGUAUAUGUUCACAAAGUGAGGCCUAGAGAUUGGCUAAAAGCUGGAGGGAAGAGUCGCAUAGGCGCACAUACAAGGAAAAAGUCGCACAGGCUGCAUGACAGAAGGUAGCAAGUGCUAGGAGAUUGGAGGAAUUUCGACCACAGGCUGUGGUGUGAGAAGGAGGCCUAAAGGUGGGAAUGCCCUAGACUUUGGAUUUAUUCACAGAACAGUUCCCUAAAUGGCAAGGAAAGUAUUAAAAUAAUUCGUAAAAGCUAUCCGGUUAUGAGACCGAUAAGUACAUCAGUCAACAUUCGAGGACGAAUAUUCCAAAGGGGGAAAUGAUGUUACACUCCACAGUAUUACAAUGAUGUUGCACCCCGUAGUAUUGUACGUUGGAUUUGUUGUAAAUUGGUAUCAGUUCAAGGAUAAGAUUAUUUUGAGGUUAUAAGUAUUACGCUAUUUCAAACAAGUGAUAAGUAAAUUCGUGAAGGUGAGAGGGUAAGCGAAUCGAAGAAAAUGAGUUUCGUCAAAGUUUGACAAUUUGGGAUAAAAUACGGUCCAAGCUAUAAUACCCUGUAUUUAUGGACUAGUGCCAUACAAGGUACCACAUAACCAUGAUAGUAAGGUGUAUAAAGUUUGUUAAAAGUGAUUAGUAUUUUAAGUAAUUUGAGAUAAUUCUUAAUUAUGUGGAUAAUUGAUAAUUAUUGAUUUUUAGUGGGUGAGUUAACAAGGUAAUUAAUUUUGGUGGAUAAGCUUAAAGGGACAUCACCCUCAACGUUGAAGCAAGGGGACUUAAGCAUCAAUGACUCUUUGGUGUUUAUAAUUAGGUGGCAUAUUUAGAGAUUUUUGGGCAAAAUAAUCCCCAAAAAUGGGGCCCACAAACCUCAAAGAUAAGAGAUUUUCAUACAUCAUUUAAGAGGGAUGUGCAUGUUGGUUAAGUAACGGAUGUAGCCUCCAAAAUAAUUCAUAUGGAACUUCAUAAUGCUAUUGCAAUAUAAGAUUUGUGAUUCUAAGAAAGUACGGUGCAAUCUUUCUCAAGAAUACCAUACAGAUCUUUUCCUAUUUCGAUCUCGCUGUUACGUAUUUCAUCACGAUUGGCAUGUGUUAGAGGGAUUGUCAAGAAAAUCGGCUCAGGUAUGUUAAGGUUAUCUCUUCUUUCCUUUUGGUAUGAUUCGUACGAUACAAACGAAACGAGCAAACGUACAACUUUCAUAAAUACCUCUAUUCAUAAAAGCAAUAGGGGUGCCUAUGUUCUUGAUUUCCCAUGUGUCUUAUUAUAUCUUCUGUUCAUGGGUCUCGAAAAUAAAUGCGUAAUUGAUAAAGUUUAUCCGAAGACAUAUUGAUCUUAUGACAUUCUGAGAAAUCUUAUUAACUUACUUCUUAUGCAUUUUAUUCAUUUAUACUUGUGCAUUGACCCAUGACCAGAUGCCGUUAUAUACGCGUAUAUUAUAUGUAUAUGGGAUAUGGGAAAAGGUUACGGCGUUAUAUACGCAUCACUACCUGAUCAGCUGGUAUACGUUGAUGAUUUUACCCACAGUGGCCGAGAUGAUAUGAUGGGAUGCCCUUAGAGGCUUGAUAAUGUGAUGUACGCAUAUACCUAUGCAUGACAUGACAUUUAUACGCACGUGCAUGAUAUUAUAAAUGUUUCAGGAUUCACAAAGUUGUUUAGACUUACAGGUGGAAUUCUUUACUCUACGUUUCUUUUAUGUCUUUUAUGCACUGAUUUUCAUGCCUUAUAUACUCAGUACUUUAUUUGUACUGACGUCCCUUUUGCCUAGGGACGCUGCGUUUCAUGCCCGCAGGUGCCGAUAGACAACUUGAGAAUCCUCCAAGUAGGCUAUCAACUCAGUAGAAGGUGUUGUUGGUGCACUCCAUUUGCUCCAGAGUUGCCUAUUUGGUUAGUAUAAUUUGGAGAUGUAUGGAUUGGUAUGGCGGGGCCUGUCCCGACCUUUAUGACAUUUAUGUACUCUUAGAGGCUUGUAGACAGAUGUCAUAUAUAUGGAUACUUGUAUGUCCUUGUCGGCCUAUGGUGUGAGUAUACAAAUGAUCAUGUCGGCCUUAUAGGCCCGUAUGUCAUAUGUAUAAGUCGGUACAUCACGUUGGGUCAUCCUAUGUCAAGUAUUUCCCUCAUGUUUUAUUCCAGUUAUCUCACGACAGCCUUUCCGGCUCAUUUACCUAUGAUAGUAUGAUAUGACAGAUACAUUACGUUGAUACUCGAUUGAGUAAGGUACUGGUUACCCGUUGUGGCCCAUCGGUUUGGAUCGUGACACAAGUGCUAAGUUGUAAUCGAUUUUAUUAUUGGUCAUGCUUGUGGUGAUAUUUGUAUGAAUUCAUGCUAAAUUUGCAAUGAGUUGUAAUUAACCUUUGGAAAUCAGUUUAAAAAGGGUUUGGUUUCCAAAGGUCAUUGAGCCCAAGAUGAGGCAUAAGUCAGACGGGCCUGAACUCAUCUGAAUAUGUGAGCCCAUUAGGCUUCACAGUUCAUCAGCGGGCCUAGUUCCCGUACAUUUGGACAUGGACCAAUGCCAUUGCCUAGGCAUAAAGGCUGGUUCAUUUCGACCCAGCAGUCUUUCGAUCAUGGUGGUAGCCUAAUGUCGUCGCUUGUGCAGUGGACUGGGGCCUUCUGUGAUCCAGCAUAUGUCACGACCCAAAUCCCUCUUUAGAAGUCGUGAUGGUACCCGGUCUCCAAACUAAAUAAGCCGGGCACUUAACAUUAUUUAGAAUAAUAAAAGCAUGAUUUAAGGAAAACAGAAUUUAAAAUAAAUGCAGAAAUAGGAGUAAUACAUGCCAAAGCGGCAAUACUCAACAUAACUUCCUAGAACUAGGUGGUACAGAGUCACAAGCUCUAACUAAAUACACGAGAAUAUCUCAAAAAUACGGUACAGUCUGAAAUACAAAUAUUGUAGAAAUGAAAAAAGAGCGUGACUCCGAGGCAUGCAGUACCUUGAAGUCUCUGGUGUAUCAAAUGCCUCACUGCCGAUCAGCUCGAUCCGAAGUACCGGAUCUACACAAAAUAUGCAGAAUCGUAGUAUAAAUACACCACAAUCGGUACCAGUAAGUAUCAAGACUAACCUCGUUAGAGUAGUGACGAGGUUCAAGUCGUUUGAUACUCACUAGACAAAUAACCCGUGUAAUGAAUAUAAUAAAAAAAACUGAUAAUAGAAAUAUAAUGAAAAAUAGUAACAACAACCCCUUUAGAGCAUGCGAUAACAACUCAGAAUUAUAAGCAUAUCUUUGAUCCCAAAACAUCAAAUAGAGGUGAGGCAUGUGAUAACAUGUCAAAUGCAAUCAUUAACUCAAUUAAAGAAAAAACAGAAGCUUUCAGAAAUAAUUAUGAAAUAAAAUUAGCAACCCCGUCUCAACACAACCAUAACAACAAUAAGGACACCUCGAAAUAUCACAUAACAUCAUCAACAAUGAUACCCUUAUUACGCCGCAUGUGCACAUAAAAAUGAAAUGCCACCCUUAUUUCGCCACAUGCAUACAUAGCCACCCUUAUUUCGCCAUGUGGGCAGUCCAAGAUAACGCCACCCUUAUUUCGCCCCAUGCGCACAACAAUAAACACAAUCGCAUGGCAAAAACCUCGUGCUGACACCCCCAAUCAAUCUUCUCAACAUGUCCACAAGUGCCACAACACCUCAAAACCGUAAUACCAAGUGCCACAAUUUUGCAAAUAAUGAUACCAAAGUUCCACCAUGAUGUAAGAUCACAACUUUCAACAACAGUGCACAUGGAUAUAACAAUAAAGCAGAGGGGUAUACAAUUAAUAUAGCUUGACUAUGGUUAAGUCAAUGUAAUGAUCAUGAUAAAAUGAUCAUUAAAGAAUCUCAACAUGUUGCAUAUAAAGUUCACUAUCACAUUAAGGCAUAUUAAUAUCGUAUGGUCUAUUCCGAUCAAACCACACAUAGUACCCAUAUAUAUGCUUGUCACCUCAUGUACACGUCACUUUUACAUCAUAGAAAUCAACAUAACAGGACUAGCCCCUAAGGGGUAUUCCCCCACACAAGGUUAGGCAAGAUACUUACCUCAAAGAAGCUAAAUCAACACUCUAAGAAGCCCUUCCCGCGUGAAACAACCUCCGGACGAAUCGAAUCUAGACAAAAUAACUUAAUAUCAUAAAUAAAAGCCAUAGAAAAUGAUUCAGAAUAAUAAAGUUUCGAUCUUUAACUAAAAACAAAAGUCUACUGAAAAAGUCAAUCCCAGGCUCGCACCCCGGAACCCGACAAAAUUCAUAAAUCCUACACAUAUUCCGAUACGAGUCCAACCAUAUCAAUUACAUCAAAUUCCGACCUCAAAUCGGCUUUCAAAUCAUCAAUUUAUGUUUUAGAAAGUUUUUACUAAAAUUCCCACUUUCUUCAAUUUGAUUCAUCAAAUAAUUGUUAAAUUCAAGGUUGGAAUCAUGAAAUAUAAACAAUUCCGAGUCAAAUAUAUUUAACCCAAUCCAAAUCAUGAAAAUUUCCUCCAAAAUCGUACAAAUCCGAGCUCUAUAACUCAAAAUAUGAUAAAAUAACAAAAGUCCUCGAAAUAGAGUAUUAAAUAAGCCUGCCUAGGUAUACACAUUGUGAACGCGGGAUCCUCAUCGCAUUCGCAAAGACCAAAAAUCAUCUUCCCGAAAAAGGCAUUCGCGUCCGCAUUCACCCCAUCGUGAACGUGAUGAAGAAAAUAUCUAAACCUUCACAAACACGGCUUGGACCUCGCGAACAUGGCUUGGACCUCGCGAACGCAUAGGCGAAACUCCUCCCAGCACCCGGCCACUUUGCGAACACGGAGACCGAUCGCGAACACAAAAAAGGGCGACUGCCCAGCUCCCUCUAACCCUGUGCAAAUGCGACCACCAUGUCGUGAAUGCGAAGAAGGAAACCAGACCUGAAAAAAGUAGCAGUCCAAAAUAAGAUGGAAUUGUCUGAAACCCAUCCUAAACACACCCGAGGCCCCCGGGAUCCCGUCCAAUCACACAAAGCUAUCCAAAAACAUAACAUGAACCUACUCGAGGACUCAAAUCACACCAAAUAACAUCAAAACUACGAAUCACACCUCAUUUCAAGCCUAAUAAACUAAUGAACUUUCAGCAUCUAAAACGCAUGUCGAACUGUGUCAAAUCAAUUCGGAAUGACUUCAAAUUUUGCGUAUAAGUCCCAAAUGACACAACGGAUCUAUACCAACUCUCAGAAGCACAAUCUGAACCCGGUAUCAACAAAGUCAACCCUCGUUCAAACCUAUCAAUCUUCCAAACCUUCAACUUUCAAACUUUCGCCAAGUCAAGCCAAAACAACCUAGGAAUCUCCAAAUCUAAAUCCAGACAUACGAACCUAUUGGAACCAUCAAAAUACCAUUCUGAGGUCAUCUAUACAAAAGUCAAACUUUGGUAAACUCUUACAACUUAAGCCUCCAACUAAGGGACUAAGUGUUCCAAAUCAAUUCAAACUCUCCCGAAACCACACCAAUCAACCCCGCAAGUUACGUAACCAUAAAUACACAUAUGUAAAGCAUCAAAUAGGGGAAACGAGGCUAGAAUACUCAAAACGACCGGCCGGGUCGCUAUAUUCUCUCCCUCUUAAAUACACGUUCAUUCUCGAACGAGUAUAAAGACAUACUUGAAGCAAAAAAAAAAGAAGAGGAUAGUGGCUCCGCAUAUCAUGCUUGGUCUCCCAAGUCACCUCUUUAACCGGUUGACCUCUUCACAGAACCUUCACCGAUGCAAUGUUCUUUGACUUCAACUUCCAGACCUGCUUGUCCAAAAUAGCCACCGGCUCAUCAACAUAGGUCAAAUCCUUGUCUAACUACACUGAGCUGAAAUCUAACACAUGUGACGGAUCACCAUAAUACUUCCGGAGCAUGGAAACAUGAAAGACAGGAUGAACUUCCGAUAAGCUGGGUGGCAAAGCAAGUUUGUAGGCCACCUCACCCACUCUCUCAAGAAUCUCAAAAGGGUCAAUAUACCGAGGGCCCAACUCCCCUUCUUCCCGAAUCUCAUAACACCCUUCAUGGGUGAAACUCUGAGUAAAACCCUCUCACCCACCAUGAAUGCCACAUCACGAGCCCUCAUAUCAGCAUAACUCUUCUGCCUGGACUACGCUGCACGAAGCCGCUCCUGAAUCAACUUCACCUGAUCCAAACCAUCACGGACCAAGUCAGUGCCCAAUAACCUAGCCUCCCUAGGCUAAAACCAAUCAACUGGAGAACGACAUCGCCUCUAAUAUAAGGCCUCGAAUGGAUCCAUCUAGAUGCUCGACUAAUAGCUAUUGUUGUAAGCAAACUCUACGAGUGGUAGAGACUGAUCCCAUAAACCCCGAAAUCGAUAACACAUGUACGUAACAUGUCCUCCAAUAUUUAAAUAGUGCACUCGGACUGUCCGUCCAUUUGGGGAUGAAAUAUCGUACUCAGCUCGACCUGCAUGCCUAACUCUCACUAAAUAGCUCUCCAAAAAUAUUAUUUAGAAUUAAGAAUCGUGAUGACACCUAAUCUCCAAACUAGGUAAGCCGGUCACAUAAUAUUAUUUAGAAAAAGUAUGAUUUAAUGAAAACAAAAUUUAACAUAAAUGCAGAAAUAGGAGUAAUAUAGGCCAAAGUGGCAAUACUCAACUUAACUUUCCUGAACUAGGUGGUACAGAGUCAUAUACACUAAUUGAAUACAAGAAAAUAUCUCAAAUAUAUGGUACAGUCCGAAAUACAUAAACUGUAGAAAUAAAAAUAAGAGGGUGACUUCGAGGCCAGCGAUCAGAUCAUGCAGGGAUAUCUUGAAGUCUCCAGUGUAUCAAGUGUCUCACUGUUGAUCAGCCCAAUCAAAAGUACCUUGAUCUGCAAAACAUAUGCAGAAGCAUAGUAUGAGUACACCACAAUCGAUACCUAGUAAGUAUUAAAACUAACCUUGGUGGAGUAAUGACGAGAAUCAAGUUGUUUGAUACUCACUGGACAAAUAACUUGUGCUAUGAAUAUAUCAAAGAAAACUAAUAACAGAAAUAUAAUGGAAAAAUAGUAACAACAACCCCUUUAGAGCGUGCGAUAACAACUCAUGAUAAUAAGCCCAUCUUUGAUCCCAAAACAUUAAAUAGAGGUGACGCAUGUGAUAACACGUCAAAUGUAGUCCUUAACUCAAUUAAGGGCAAAACAAAACUAUUCAGAAACAAUUAUGAAAUAAAAUUAACAAUCCCUCUCAACACAAUCACAACAAUAAUGAGGACAUCCCGAAAUAUCACAUAAUAUCAUCAACAACGCCACCCUUAUUUCGUCCCACGCGCACAACAAUAAACACAAUCGCACGUCAAAAAUCUCGUGCUGACACCCCCAAUCAAUCUUCUCAACAUGUCCACAAGUGCCACAACACCUCAAAAUCGUAAUACCAAGUGCCACAAUUUCGCAAAUAAUGAUACCAAAGUUCCACCAUGAUGUAAGAUCAUAACUUUGAACAACAGUGCACAUGGAUAUAACAAUAAUCAUAAAAGCAGAGGGGUAUACAAUUAAUAUAGCUUGACUAUGGUAAAGUCAAUGUAAUAAUAUUGAUCAAAUAUUCAUAAAAGAAUCUCAACCUGUUUCAUAUAAAGUUUAUUAUCACAUUAAGGCAUAUUAAUAUCUUACGGUCUAUUCCAGUCAAAACCACACAUAGUACCCGUAUACAGGCUCGUUACCUCAUGUACACGUCACUAUCACAUAAUAGAAAUCAACAUAACAUGACUAGAACCUAAGGGGUAUUCCCCCCUCCCCCUCCCUCUCACAAGGUUAGGUAAGAUACUUACCUCAAGGAAGCUAAAUCAAUACUCUAAGAAGUCCUUCCCGAAACAACCUCUGGGCGGCUCGAAUCUAGCCAAAAUAACUAAACAUCAUAAAUAAAAUGCGUAGGAAACGAUUUCGAAUAAUAAAGUUUCGAUCUUUAACUAAAAUAAAAAUUCAACCCCGGGACUGCACCACGUAACCCGAAAAAACGUACAAAUUUUGAACGCUUAUUCCGAUACGAGUCAAACCAUAUCAAUUACAUCCAAUUCCGGCCUCAAAUUGACCUUCAAAUUAUUAAUUUAUGUUUGAGAAACGUUUUUGCUAAAAUCCCCAAUUUUUUUUAAUUUUAUUCAUCAAAUAAUCGCUUAAACAAGGUUGGAAUCAUGAAAUAUAAACAAAUUCGAGUAAAAACAAUACUUACCUAAUCUAGAUCGUGCAAAUCCCUUCCAAAAUUGCCAAAAUUCGAGCUUUACAACUCAAAAUGUGAUAAAAUAACAAAAGUCCUUGAAAUAUAGUAUUAAAUAGGUCUGACCAAAAAUCAUCUGCUGGAAAAAGGCCUUCGCGUUCGCGUUAGCGUUCGCCCCAUCGCGAACGUGAUGAAGAAAAUACCUAAGCCUUCAUGAGGCCAAACUCCUCCCAGCACCCGGCCAUUUAGUGAAUGCGGAGCUCGAUCGCGAACGCAAAGAAGGGCGACUGCCCAGUCCUCUAUAACCCUCCACGAAUGCGACCGCCAUGUCGCAAACGCGAAGAAGGAUACCAGACCUGAGAAAAUCAGCAAUCCAAAAUAAGGUGGAAUGGUUCGAAACCCAUCCAAAACACACCCGAGGCCCCCGGGACCCCUUCAAAUCACAUCAACCAUUCCUAAAAUAUAACAAUACCCUACUCGAGGCCUUAAAUCACACCAAACAAUAUCAAAACUAUGAAUCGAACCGCAAUUCAAGCUUAAUGAACUAAUAAAAUUUCAACUUCUAAAACUCAUGACGAACCAUGUCAAAUCAACUCGGAAUGACCUCAAAUUUUACAUGCAAGUCCCAAAUGAUAGAACAAACCUAUACUAACUCUCGGAACCAUAAUCCGAACCCGAUAUAAAUAAAGUCAACCCUCGGACAAACUUAUCAUUCUUUCAAACCUUCAACUUUCCAACUUUCGCCAUUUCAAUCCAAAACAACUUAGGAACCUCCAAAUCCAAAUCCGGAUGUACGCCUAAGUUCAAAAUCACUAUACAAAACUAUUGGAACCAUCAAAAAUAUUAUUUUGGGGUCAUCUAUACAAAAAUUAAACUCCGAUCAACUCUUACAACUUAAGCCUCCAACUAAGGGACUAAGUGUCCCAAAUUAAUCCAAAACUCUCCCGAAACCACACCAAUCAACCCCGCAAGUUACGCAAUCAUAUAUAUAUAUNNNNNNNNNNNNNNNNNNNNNNNNNAUGCUAUCAAACAUUGCCAUACACUCCAAAAACGGGAAUAAUUCAAAUCGGCCAACUUUCCAUUUCGAAUAAUUACCUAAUAAAUUUGUGUAAUUCGUAAAACGAUUCGCCCCUUCUCUUAAGUUCAUAAUCCCGUUAAUUGUAUUUGCCAAAAUUCUAUGUGACAAACCUUUAUUGGUAGUUUAGUGGCACCAUAUACCUAUACUAUUGAAACUUCCCACAAUGAAUCUUACACCUUUUCUAUAAUGCAAUAUCCAUAACUUUAUACCUCACAAAAAUCUCAAAUUAGAAAUUACUCAUGACAUGCUAGUUACUCCUAGGCACGUAUAAAUAAUUAAUUAUCAUGAUUAUGAGUAUGAUUUUUGUUACGCCCCAAACAGGGAAGGCAUGGCCGACACCUGGUGCUAUACUUGACCCCGUGAGUACUACUCUGUUACUGUAAACUCUGGGGGUAAUCUUCAACUUAGGAUGACAAGGACUACCUGCCAACAGACAAUGCCAACAAAGGCUGUCGAGGCCAUAUUCUGAAUUAUCUAAAAAUAAUUUCCAUCUCAUCUGAAAGGUAAACAUAUGCAAAAACUCAUAUACAUAACUGUACAGUCCGAUGAGCAUAUACAAGGGACAUCAAGGCUGCUAUACUGACAUACAGACAUACAUAACUUGUCUUUAAGCCUCUAGAGAUAACAAAACUAUAUCAUGGUCAGACCUAUCCAUCAAGUAUGUUUAUACAAAAUGGACUUCAAAGUCUAGACCUGGUAACUUUGGGGGAGUAGAGCUUACCGAUCAAGAUAAUGUCUAGCUCUGUCUGCUAGAAAGGUCUAUCUGGCUUCCCAUUAGAACUUGCAGACAUGAAAUGCAACGUCCCUCUGCAAAAGGGACGUCAUUACAAAAUAAUAUACUGAGUUUGUAAGACAAUAUAAUAACUGAAAGCUGAAACUAAACUGAAGUACAUAGUAAUCUGGAACCCAAAGAAUGCUCUAAGACAUACUCACAUGUUCCGACUCAAAACAAUAUAAUAUAGUAAUGUCAUAGCUAGCUGGCCACAUAUAUGGCUCGAUGUAUCUCUCACUGACCGUAAGGCCAGAAAAAUAUAAAGUCUUACUAACCAUAAGGCCAGGCAAUAAUAUCUAUCAUUGACCAAGUGGCCAGGCAAUAAUUUUUGUCACUGACCAUAAGGCCAGGAAAUAACAAUAUCUCAUUGACCAAGUGGCCAGAGUACAUAAAAUAUAUGUAUACGAUGCUGUAUGUCAUAUGUAUAGUAGAAUGUAUGGAUGUACGUAUGUAACUCUCUAUCUUUGUGCAACAUAAUGAAAUAACAUAAAGAGGAUGGGAACCUCUCUCAAUAAGAUACGAUGGAAGUAUAUGGAAAUAUGUGACACCUAUUGAGACAUAAAAUCUACAAUAUGUGUUCUCAUAUAAGAGUUAUCCAACUCGUACUUACUAUAAAUUCAUACCAAUGAAAGAAAAUGGAUAUCCAUAACAUACCUCUCUUCGUCUAUAUGAACACAAUAGAACAUGUCUCGAAUAGCACCUCAACCUAUAACAAUGACAAUACGUUCGUUAACUUAAAGAAUACUAGUAUACGAUGUAUAUCAAAUGAUAACUCAUUCCUAUAAAGAAUGCAGCAUCAUAUCCCCUUAUUUUAGUACUUUACCCAAGCCUACAUUAGGAAUAAUAAUGACUACAACCAGCAAACAACUCAACACCAAAGUAAUGAGCGACAAGCACGAUCUCAGAUUACUAAACGUCACGUUUCCAACUUCUCUUUUUUUUCUAAAUCGAGCAACACAACCAACAACACAUAACCAGCCCACUUACUACAUAAACCAGCCAUAAAUUUAACAUAGAAUUAAGCUCAUAAUCCGCCAAUCAGUAACGCAACAACAACAACAAUAAACGAUAAAAGGACUUUCGUCAACGAAAAGGAAAACUAGAAUAUAACGUAUUGAGCAACGAGCUCAUCUCAUAGCCACAACCAUAACCGUUUUUCUCCAUAAUCAUAAUAACAAGAGCAAAAACAACAAACCCAAGUUAUUCCCCAUAAUUUUCCAGCCAUAACAUAGCUCAAAAAAUCCCAAAAUAGCCCAACAAUUACAACACAUCAAACGAGGUUUUUACUCCAUUUAUCUUACAAGUUCUUUAACAACAAGAUAGCUCGACUUAGAUAAGAUCAAGAACAAGUAGAAGAAUAAUAAUCUCUCCUUCAAUCAGCAUGAACAUAUCCAACUCAAGCUUACUUCACCAUGAAAAAAUCUUCCAAAACAGCCACUAGAAGAAGAAUAACAAAUCUAUAAACCCCACAAGGUUUUUAGAUAUUGAUUAACUUUGAGAACCUUAGGAUUAGCUAUUGAACUAUUUGAGAACCUUUAGAGAGAGUUUUAGGGUGUAUAGAAACUAAUAUGAAAGAAAAAUGAGGUCUCCAAGUCGUUCUACCACUUUAUACAUCUUGAGAAUUUUCCACCGCCUAAGUGGGUCCCAAAGGGGCUGCCUGUGCAGUCUCGCAAAAAUGCAAAUAUCUCUCUACUACAACUUUUUAUUGAUAAAAGGUUUAAUGCAUUGGAACCUAGACUCGUAUGCCUUCAAUUUGGUGGUUGUAUCACAACGUAACUCUGCGUAUAUUGGGAGAAAAAUUCGGUGACAUUUGACCCAAAUUUUAGUACAAUUAUGAGCGUAACUUGCAAUAACUUUUGCCAACUUUUAUUUUACAACUUGUCUGAUAUCAAAACUCAACAUACAAAUUUUAUAUAAUUAAAGUACCUUAAAACACAACCUUCUUAGCAUAUUAAGCACUCCUAAUUUUAACCCAAAGUACGAGUUAUAAUAUCUUUGAUUCGUUUAGCUUCCAACCCUCACAAUACUUCCUUAACACAUGUUUUAACUCAUCAUUAUAUUUAUAGAGGUCCUUAAACUCUCCGUCUUAUAUUGAUUCAUUUAAGACGCAUUCUAACUUUGUUACCUUAUUCUAAAAACUUCAACAAAAUAUUCUUUCGCUUUUAGCUCUCCUUGCUCCAUCUCACUGGCUCUUUGGGUGGCCUAACAUUUCUUUUUACUAGGGACAGGAGUCAUACUAAAGUAAAUAUUUAUCCCUUCUAGGAUUUCAGUGCCUAUCUUCUGAAUUUUCUGAAUAUUCUAGUAUUCAUAUCUGACUCUACAAUUUUAGAAUGCACCACCUGGGUGUCUCACAAGGGUGACUAUUAUCACGUUUGCAAUAUCGUUCGAAAAUAUCAGCUAAUGCAAAUAAUCCAUCUACCAUUUUGGAUUACUCUAACCCCGCUGGAUUCUAAUUUUCAUCCUUCUCUUAAACUAUAUAUGUUAGCUCCCAUAAGGCAUAACUGAGAUGGGUAUGUCCAAUUAUACAUACCAUUAUUACUGUUAAAAGUAAACUCAGAAUGCUUAUAUUUGUUUGCCUGAAUUGUAAAUACUGAUAAUCUUCACUAACUGGGUACCUCGUACCCUUCUUCACCUUGAUUCAUUUACCUGUUAAAACUUAUACUUUUACCUUUUGAUACUCCCAUGGCAUGCUAUUCGUGGGGUGUGUUAGAUAUCCCCAUCUUAGGGUCUUAAGUAUAAAAUUUGCACAACAAGUAUGCACGAUCUGAUAGGGCCUCAAACUAGGCCACGAUGUCAAGGAACUCUCUCUCUUCUAGUGCCCUUAGCUAUUGUUGUAUUAGCCCUCUGGCUAGCUGUAAUUUUUCUAAUUGCAAGCAUCUCUCUAUCAUUAGCAAACCUAAGACCUGACUCAAAAACUCUUAUGGCUCAGAUCUAUAGCACGAUUGGGAUUUGAAAGAAGGGUAAGAGACUCCUAAAUGCCUUGUAGCUUCCUAUUUAUAUAAUGUGGUGAACAAUACAUCUAUAAUCAAGCCUACAGUAGACAUGGCUUGUAGACUCCCUAGGUCAGACUGUAAGGCACCGUAAAAUUUUCACAAAGGAAAUUAAGGUUUCGUGGUGCUGAACUAGGCUUACAUGUUUGAGGCUCAGACUUUUUUUGGGUUGAACAAUACGCUGGGGAGUAAAGGAAAACUUUCAGUAGAAAAAGAUAUUUAUGUGGCCCACUAUGUGACCGUAGAAUCACUCUUCGGACCGCAUAAUGGCGGCAGAGUAAAUCAGAGGCGGGGCAAGAAUGGAGGAAGGUCUGCGGUACACUAUGCGAUCGCAGACCAGUUAUGCGGUGCAUUAUGCGACCACAUAAUAGGUAUGCGGGCCGCAUAAUCACCGCAUACCCAACCAGACGACCCCAAUUUUGGAGCAUCAAUUAUGCGACCGAUAUGCGGGCCGCAUAAUGGUUCUGCGGUACGGUCUGCGAUCGUAGACCCGGUUUCGACAAUUUUAAGUUUUGGAAAUUUUACCCGCCUAUUUUUAUAAAAAGGCAUUGGGGGUCAUAUUUAAGGGUUUCAUCUGACAUUUUUAGAGAGAGGUGAGAGUAUCUUAGAGAGAGAAAGAGAAGACCUAGUCAUUUAUUCAUCAAUUCUUGCUCAAGGCUUGAAGAUUUCACAAGGAUCUUGCUAGGAUUCAAAGAGGUAAGAAUUUCUUCCCCCAAUUCUUCAAUUUCGAGUUUGGGUAUGAUAUGGGUAAUUUGGGAGUAUGAGUUUUGGAUAUGGGAAUUGUUAUUUAUCAUAUGCAUGGGCUAGUAGGGAUUAUGGGGAAGUUGUUGAACAAUCUUUGGUGAUUUUGGUGUUGAAUUAGUUGUGGAGUGAAGGAAAUCUUGUGGAUGAACUUUGUAGUGUAAUUUGCACACCUAGUGUUUGAUAAAAUGCUCAAGUGAGCUGGAACUAUGAAUUCCUUCCUAAUUUGUGUUCAAUUUUGGUUUAUGUCUAAAUAGAUUAAAUGGCUAAGAUUUUCAGAACAUUGUAGUAAAUUAAAAGGCUCGAAGUAAGGUAUGUUGGCUAAACUCCUCUCUUAGAAUUGAAUCUCAUGUUAUUCAUAUAAUUUAUAUAAGUCCCGAGUUGUUCAUUAUAAAUUUGGCUAUUCCGAAUAAGCUUGUGUUGAAAGAUAUAUGUUCAAUAUGUAUACCAAAUGCUUUUAUCGUGUUAUGUCAUCAUUUGAGAACAUGUUCAAAGUAUGGACUGUGCAUUUAAGAUGUUUCGACUUCAAGUCAAGUUCAAACGAAUGCUAUUAUGCCAAAUUUUGUGAAAAGUCUCUAUGUGUCUAAGACUCUUAAUUGCUCACAUGUGUGCUAAAAACCUUGAUUUGUAAUGCUUUGUUGUUGUUGAUGAUGUUGAUGUUUGAAAGUGAAAAAGGUAAGCAUGAAAUACUAAAUACAGCCGAUGUGCCAAGAAUAAUUUUAUAAUUGUGGCCACUAGUGCCAAUGAAAUAAAAAGAUGUGAAAGAGGUAUGAAACGAAUGAUUGGUAUAAAAGAAUGAUGUCUUGAAUGAGACGGCAUAGUCGAUCGGGUCGUGAUCGGAUGUCAUGCCGCGCAUAUGGUGGUGAUUGUGCUUGAAAUUAUAAUUUUGGUUGAUGUCUCGAAUGAGACUGCCUAGCCGAUCGGGUCAUGAUCGGACUCCGUGCUAAAAGUACGGUGGUAUUGAUAUUGUGAAAGGUGACAUUAUUGGUACUAAAAAUCUCCCAACUUAAGAUAUGGAAAUUAAUUUGAACACUAUCUUGAUACUAAUUUGAGGUUUGAUGUUGUUUGAGGCUUCCAUUGAUAUUAUGAUUAUUCUUGCUCGUAUUAUUUAUCAUUCUAUUGAGAGGGUGUUUUGUUAUUCAUACUAGUACUAUUCCAUAUGUACUAACAUCCCUUUUGUCGGGGGUGCUGCAUCUUCAAUGGAUGCAGGUGGUUCCACAGUAGGAGACAUUAAUCAUUGAUAGCGGUACAUCCUCUUCCCAGCAGACUUGGUGAGCCCCACUUUAUUUCGGGGUCAUGUAUCUUUUGUUCCUUGUGUAUUGUGUUUGAGAUAUAGGUGGGGCCUUAUUGCCGGCAUUAUCAUAAUACUCUUCUGUAUCUAUUAGAGGCUCCGUAGACAUAGUGUGGGUUGUAUAUUAGUGAUGGGAAAGUCAAACAAGUUAUGUUGUGUUUGAAUUACUUGUUCCAUUUUAGACCAUGGAAAAUGUGUGUAAUUUGAGACAUUAAAAUGAAGUAACUAAUGGUAAUGAAUUGGUAUUGUAUACAUGGACUCCUUAUCGUAUAUUUAACAAAAAUAUGUAUUCUUUGUAUUCAUAAGUGAGUUUUGGUAGAAAGUAUCUAACAUGCUUGCUUGACCGGGUUCACUCGGUUGAGCACCGGUCGCGCUCCCCGAGUUCGAGGGCGUGACAUACUUGGUAUCAGAGCCUAAGGUUUUAAAGUGUCCUAAGAUGUCUCAGAGCCGUGUCUAGUAGAGUUCUUCUUAUUAGUGUGUUGUCGACCACAUCUAUAAUUAGGAUGCUAUUUGGGCAUUUAGGAAUAAUACCAUUCUUUCAUGUUCUCGAUCGUGUGAUAAAGGUGAUUGUAAUGUUGUUCCUCAUUUGACUCAUGCGUUGCUCUAAUUUUCUGUACAUGGCACUUAAGAAGAAGGUAAGAACUAGCCAGAGAGCUAAUGUCACUCCAGGAGUGGCAGUUGAUUCUGUAUUUGAUGAUGCGGGUGAGCACCCGAGGGGUGAGGAUAUUCUCCCAAUUACUACAAUGCCUGAUUCUACUACAACUGAUCAGACCGCACCUGUCCCUACACCUACUGAGGGUGCAACGGUCCCUCUAACUGAUAUUCCAGUACCACCUCCUGCCCCAGCGUCCGAUUCCGAUGUUUCUGAUGGGGAUCUUAGGGGGAGCCAUACAGAUGUUGGCUUAGAUAGUGGUUUCCUAGGCUCAGAGAUCAAAUGUUGCACCCACUCCUUCCAGUCAACCAGGUGAUUCUGCUAGUUCCAGGGUGAAUAGGUUUCUCCAGUUGAAUCCUCCAGUGUUCACGGGUACUAACCCAAAGGAGGACCCCUAGGACUUCAUUGAUGAGAUGCACAAGACUCUCCGAGUUAUGCGUGCUACUGAGACAGAGGCAGUGGAAUUGGCUUCCUACCGCCUAAAAGAGGUGGCAUAUUCUUGAUUUGAGCUGUGGGAGGAGUCCUGUGAGGAAGGGUGCCCUCCGGCGAGGUAGGGUGAGUUUGCCGAUGCCUUUAUUGAUCAUUUCUUGCCUACAGAGACUAAGGCAGCCCAUUCCGCUGAGUUUGAGAGCCUGAGGCAAGGUAGCCUGAGUGUGUGGGAGUACCAUAAGAUAUUUGCGCACCUGUCCAAGUAAGCUAUUUACAUGUUGCCCACUAUGGAGGCUAGAGUGCGCCAGUUUAUGCAGGGACUUAGUCCCUUGGUAAUUAUUGAGGCUACUACAGCUUUCUUGAAUUCUGAUAUAAACUAUGGGAAGAUGGUGGCAUUCUCUCAAGCCACAGAGACCCGUAAAUUGAGGAACAUAAUGGAGCGAGAGGAAAGUAAUAAGGCCCGAUCUGCGGGCAACUUUGGUGGUUUUUCUGGUGGCGGCAAAUCAGCAUUCAGUGGAGGGUCAUCAGGGCCAUCUUAGUCCUCUACUCAGUCUUCGAUUAGUGCACCACCAUCAGGGCUUAGUCAGCAAUAGUGGAGCCUUUUCAGGCCCAGUCAUGGCAAUAGGGGCUCCUAUCAACAAGGUCGUCAUGGUGGUAGAUUCCAGCAGGAGCGAAGUCCCCCAUGCCCUAGGUGUGGAAAGAUGCACUUAGGAAUAUGCUACACGAACUUACCCAUUUGCUACGGGUGCGGAUUGAGGGGUCAUAUUCAGAGGGAUUGUCGUUUGUCCCGCCAGGGUAUGGGCAGGGGCACGACACAACCAGCCAGUUCUGCAGCUACCACAUCCGCAGCACCUCUUCCAGCUCGAGGCACUCCAACACCCACAAGGCAUGGUGCAGCUAGGGGUGGAGCACAGAGUUCGGGAGGAUCCAAUCGUUUCUAUGCUAUGAGGGGUCGCUAGAAUUCAGAGGCUUCUCCAGAUGUUUUCACAGGUAUAUUGACUGUCCAAUCUUAUGAUGUGUAUGCUCUUAUUGAUCCCUGUUCCACUUUGUCAUAUGUCACUCCUUAUAUUUCUAUGAAACUUGGGAUAGAAUCGGAACAGCUUCAUUAGUCGUUCUCUGUAUCUACUUUGGUUGGUGAGUCUAUUUUGGCCGUGCGGGUUUAUAGGGAUUGUGUUUUCAUGUUGUGUGGUCGGGACACCAUGGCCGAUCUUAUUGAAUUGGGGAUGGUCGAUUUUGAUGUAAUAAUGAGGAUAGACUGGCUUUAUUCUUGUUUUGCCAAUCUUGAUUGCCGAACCAAGACUGUUAGGUUCGAAUUUCGAAAUGAGCCAGUUAUAGAGUGGAAGGGUGAUGAUGUGGUGCCAAAGGGUAGGUUUAUUUAUUAACUUAAGGCCACGAAGAUGAUCAACAAGGGGUGUAUUUACCAUUUGGUCUGGUUUACGGACACCGAUGCUGAAGCACCUACACUUGAGUCCGUACCUGUUGUGAAUGAAUUUCCAAGAGUCUUUCCGGAUGAGCUCUCUGCGAUCCCACCAGACAGGGAGAUUGAUUUUGGGAUUGAUGUGAUGCCAGGCACGCAACCUUUAUCUAUUCUGCCCUACAGAAUGGCACCGGCAGAAUUGAAGGAGCUAAAGGAACAAUUAAGAGAUUUAUUAGAGAAGGGUUUCAUACAGCCGAGUGUGUUGACUUGGGGCGCACUGGUUCUAUUUGUAAGAAAGAAGGAUGGGUCACUAAGAAUGUGUAUCGACUAUCGGCAGCUCAACAAGGUUACAAUAAAAAAUAAGUACCCACUUCCAAGGAUAGAUGAUUUAUUUGACCAAUUGCAAGGUGCUAAGUACUUCUCCAAAAUUGAUUUACGAUUCGGAUAUCACCAAUUGAAGACCAGGGAGCAGGAUAUUCUAAAAAUAGCUUUCAGGACCCGGUAUGGGCACUUUGAGUUCCUGGUAAUGUAUUUUGGGCUAACAAAUGCCCCCGCAGCUUUCAUGAAUCUUAUGAAUCGGGUUUCCAAGCUGCUCCUCGACUCUUCUGUGAUAGUAUUUAUUGAUGAUAUCCUUAUAUAUUCACGUAAUUGAGGGGACCAUGCCGAUCAUCUUAGGGUAGUUCUGCAGACUUCCAGAACAUUGAAGUAAAUUAAAAGGCUCUAAGCAAAGUAUGUUGGCUAAACUCCUCUCUUAGAAUUGAAUCCCACGGUAUUCAUGUAAUUUAUGUAAGUCCCGAGUUGUUCAUUAUAAAGUUGGCUAUUCCGAAUAAUCUUGUGUUGAAAGAUAUAUGUUCAAUAUGUAUACCAAAUGCUUUUAUCGUGUUAUGUCAUCAUUUGAGAACAUGUUCAAAGUAUGGACUGUGUAUUUAAGAUGUUUCGACUUCAAGUCAAGUUCAAACGAAUGCUAUAAUGUCAAAUUUUGUGAAAAAUCUCUAUGUGUCUAAGACUCUUAAUUGCUCACAUGUGUGCUAGAAACCUUGAUUUGUAAUGCUUUGUUGUUAUUGAUGAUGUUGAUGUUUGAAAGUGAAAAAGGUGAGCAUGAAAUACUAAAUACAGCCGAUGUGCCAAGAAUGAUUUUAUAAUUGUGGCCACUAGUACCAAUGAAAUAAAAAGAUGUGAAAGAGGUAUGAAACGAAUGAUUGGUAUAAAAGGAUGAUGUCUUGAAUGAAACGGCCUGGCCGAUCGGGUCGUGAUCGGACGCCAUGCCCCGCACAUGGUGGUGAUUAUGCUUGAAAUUAUAAUUGUGGUUGAUUUCUCGAAUGAGACUGCCUAGCUGAUCGGGUUGUGAUCGGACUCCGUGCUAAAAGUAAGGUGGUAUUAGUAUUAUGAAAGGUGGCAUUAUUGGUACUAAAAAUCUCCCAACUUAAGAUAUGGAAAUUAAUUUGAACACUAUCUUGAUACUAAUUUGAGAUUUGAUGUUGUUUGAGGCUUCCAUUGAUAUUAUGAUUAUUCUUGCUCAUAUUAUUUAUCAUUCUAUUGAAAGGGUGUUUUGUUAUUCAUACUAGUACUAUUCCAUAUGUACUAACGUUCCUUUUGCCGGGGGCGCUGCAUCUUCAAUGGAUGCAGGUGGUUCCACAGCAGGAGACACGGAUCAGUGAAAGCGGUACACCCUCUUCCCAGCAGACUUGGUGAGCCCCACUUUAUUUCGGGGUCAUGUAUCUUUUGUUCCUUGUAUAUUGUGUUUGAGGUAUAGAUGGGGCCUUAUUGCCGGCAUUAUCAUAAUACUCUUCUAUAACUAUUAGAGGCUCCGUAGACAUAGUGUGGGUUGUAUAUUAGUGAUGGGAAAGUUAAACAAGUUAUGUUGUGUUUGAAUUGCUUGUUCAACUUUAGACCAUAGAAAAUGUGUCUAAUUUGAGACAUUAAAAUGAAGUAACUAAUGGUAAUGAAUUGGUAUUGUAUACAUGGACUCCUUAUCGUAUAUUUAACGAAAAUAUGUAUUCUUUGUAUUCAUAAGUGAGUUUGGCCAGAAAGUAUCUAACAUGCUUGCUUGACCGGGUUCACUCUGUUGAGCGUCGGUCACGCUCCCCGAGUUUGGGGUGUGACACAUACCUGCUCAGAUACCAAGUUUGUCACACCCCAAACUAGAGGAGGUGCAGACGACACUCGAUGUCAUACUUGACCCCGAGUGUAACACUUUGUAACUAUAAAAUCUGUGGGUAACCGACAACUUAGGCCGAUAAGCUGUAGCUGCUAAUAGACAAUACCAACCAAGGCUGACGAGGCCAUAUUCUUAAUCAUAUGAAAAUAACGUCUAUCUCAUAUGUAAGGUAAACAUACCCUAAAGCUCAUAUAUAUAACUGUGCAGGCCGAUGAGGCCACCAUAAACGUCUGCAACAACAACACAAAAAUGAGCAUAUACAAGGGCCGACAAGGCUGCUAUGUGGACAUACAGGCAUACAAUACUCGUCUACAAGCCUCUAGAGAUAACAUAACUGUAUUAUGGUUGGGACAGGGUGCCGACCUACCCAUCAAGUUUGUAUAUAUAAAAUGGACUCCAAAUUCUAGACCUGGUAACUCCGGGGUAUGAAGCUUAUCGAUCAAGCUGAUGUUUGGCUCUGUCUACUAGGAAGGUCUAUCCGGCUGCCUAUUAGAACUCACAGGCAUAAAAUGCAGCACCCUUAGAAAAUGGGACGUCAGUUCGAAAUAAUGUACCGAGUAUGUAUGGAAAUAGAUUAAUAGAAAUCUGAAACUGAACUGAAGUACAUAGUAAUAUGGAAGCCAAAUAAUGCUUUAAGACAUACUCACCUAUUCCGAUUCAACACAAUAUAAUAUAGUAAUGUCAUAGCUAGCCGGCAACAUAUAGGGCUCGAUAUAUCUCUCACUGACCAAGUGGCCAUGCAACAUUAAACUCUCACUGACCGUAAGGCCAGAAAAAUAUAAAGUCUUACUAACCAUAAGGCCAGGCAAUAAAAUCUAUCAUUGACCAAGUCGCCAGGAAAUAAUAUCUGUCACUGACCAUAAGGCCAUGAAAUAGCCAAUAUCUCACUGACCAAGUGGANNNNNNNNNNNNNNNNNNNNNNNNNAUAUAUAUAUAUAUAUAUAUAUAUAUAUAUAUACGAUGUUGUAUGUCAUAUGUAUAGUAGAAUGUAUGGAUGUACUUAUGUAGCUCUCUAUCUUUGUCCAACAUCAUGGAAUAACAUAAAACUGAUGGGAAUCCUCUCAAUAAGAUACGAUGGAAGUAUACAGAGAGAUGUAACACCUAUUGAGACACGAGCUGUACAAUAUGCUUUUCUUGUAUAAGAUUCAUCCAACUCGUACUUACAACGAAUUAAUGCCAAUGAAAGAAAAGGGAUAUCAAUUACAUACCUCUCAUCGUCUAUACGAACUCAAUAAGGAACUUGUCUCGAAUAGCGCCUCAACCGAUAACAAUGAAAAUACAUUUGUUAACUUUAAUGAAUACUAGUAUACGAUGUAUAUCGAAUGAUAAUUCGUUCCUAUAAAGAAUUGGACAUCAUCUCCCCUUAUUUUAGUACGUUACUCAAUCCAAAAAUAGGCAUAAUAAUAACUAUAACCAGCAAGCAACUAAAAACCAAAGUAAUGAGCGACAAGCUCGAUCUUAGAUUGCUAAACGACACAUUUCCAACUUCUCUUUUCUUUCACAUCGAGCAAUACAACCAACAACACAUAACCUUACCCCUUUCCAUGUAAACCAGCCAUGAGUUUAACUUAUAAUUAAGCUCAUAAUCAGCCAAGCAGUGGCGCAACAACAACAACAAUAAACGACCAAUAUGACUUUAGUCAAUGAAAAGGAAAACUAGAAUAUAACAUAUUGAGCGACGACCUCAUCUCAUAGCCACAACCAGCACCUUCUGUUCUCCAUAAGCAUAAUAACAAUAUCAACAACAACAAACCCAAGUUGUUCUCCAUAAUUUUCUUGUCACAAUUUACCUCAAAAAUAUCCCAAAACAGUCCAACAACUACAAUACAUCAAACAUGGUUUUUAUUCCUUUUAUCCUAUAAGUUCUUUAACAACAAAAUAGCUAUGACUUAGAUGAGCUCAAGAAAAGUAGAAGAGUCAUAAUAUCACCUUCAAUCAACAAGAACAGCUCCAACUCAAGAUUUCUUCACCAUGAAAAAAUUUCCCGAAAUAGCCACUCGGAGAAGAACAUCAAAUCUAUGAACACCACAAGGUUUCUAGUAUUUAUUCACUUUGAGCAUUUUAGGAUUAGCUCUUGAAAUAUGUUAAGAAAUUUAGAGAGAGUUUUAGGAUUUGUAGGAACUGAUAUGAGCAAGAAAUGAGGUCUCCAUGUUGUUUUACCACUUUAUACAACUUGAGAAUUUUCCACCGCCUAAGUGGGUCCCAAAGGGGCUGCCUGCACAGCCUUUCGAAAAUGCAGAUAUCUCUUAAAUAUGAUAUCUCAUUAAUAAAAGACUUAAUGCGUUGGAAACAAGACUCAUAUACAUUCCAUUUGGUGGGUGGAUCACCCUGUAACUCCAAGUAAAUUGGGAGAAAAUCUUAUUGAUAUUCGACCAUAAUUUCUGAAAAGUAUGAACGUAACUUACAAUAACUUUUGCCGACUUUUGUUUUACAAUUUGUUUGACAUCAAAACUCAACUUUCAAAUGUUAUAUGAUUCACGUACCUUAAAACAAGACCUCCUUGCAUAUUAAGCACUCCUAGUUUUACCCCGCAAGUAUGGGUUAUAAUAUCUUUGAUUUGUUUAGCCUCCAACCCUCACGAUACUUCCUUAACACUUGUUUUAACUCAUCAUUAUUUUUGUAAAGGUCCUUAAACUCUCCGACUUAUAUUAAUUCACUUAAGACGCAUUAUAACAUGAAAGUACGGGAUGUAACAAUUUCUCUGGCAUAACUAUGAUACUUAACUCCAAAAUUCAAGUGCGCGUUUACGUGGCUUGAUCCUUCAAAUUCAAAUAAUAUUAAAAAGUGUUGUUAAAUCAUGGGUACGUAUGCGUGCCAUGAUUUUUUUACACGUACAAACAACAAUGGCACAUCAACGUGACUUGUUCAAGAUAACUUUUAUAAUUCUGUAAAAUAUAUAAUUAAAAAUGGUAUAAAGGCAAAAAAAAUGCACAAAUCUUUAAAAUAUGUAAUAAUCCGAAUUAAUUAAGCCAAGCGUAAUUGUUAAGAGACCUUGUUAAGACCAUGGAUCUCGAGAGUGACUCAUAUCUUCUUAUGGGUUAACAGAAUUCCUUACCCGGUCUUCUGUAUUUCGUGAAUCAUAAUUCUGCGUUAAAAUUUUCCUUGAAUCGAGAUUGUUAAAUAAAUUGGUGACUUGGAACACCAUAAUAAAAUAAUUUCAAGUGGAAACUCCUUAAUGAAUAAAAUAAUUUUUUUUCAAAUAAUGUCACUUAAGUUGGAAAAACUCCUUUCUCCAAUCCAUGUAAAAAAGGAGGUAUGACAGCUUUGGCGACUCCGGUGGGGACCGAACCCAGAAUUUGAGCUUAGAGUGCAUGUGUUCCCGGUAUGUUGGCCCCCUCGACUCAAGUUGUCUGCGUGGGUAAGCCAGGUCUAGACAACUCACCCAUUAGAAUUUUAAAACUAGAAGAAUAAGCUUCAUGCCAAAUCCCUAGUAGAAACAUUUUUUUCCUAGAGAAAUUCAUUCCACUCUCUCAGAGAGACAAGUUGUGCAACCAGUUUGAGUGUCUUCUGCAGGGUAGCAUGACCGUCACCUAGUAUAAGGCUAGAUUUGUUGAUUUGUCUCGCCAUGCAGCUAUUCUAAUCCCUACUAAUAGGGAGAAGGUGUAAGGUUCAUAGAGGGUCUUACCUAUUGCAUCAGACUUUAGAUGGCCAGAGAGGCCAACACUAGGACUUCUUUCACUUAGGUAAUGGAGAUUGCCAGGAGGAUUGAGUGCAUUAGAGGCCAGGCGAGAGAGAUGACCUUUGACAAGAGGCCUAUCAUUUUGAUGUUUUCAGUGCUGCCUCACUUGGAGACAGGGAUUCCUUUGGUAGAGGCCAUUAUAUCUAGCCCGUAUAGUCAACACUACAAGUCACACAUGGUAUAUCAGGUUGCCAUAAUGCUUAUAGACAUCGUUCUGAGCAGCUAAUAUUAAGUGCACCUCCAGCUCAUAUUAGUGCACUGCCGAUUCAAAUCUACUAAGGUGGUCAUUUGGGUCGUCAAUGAAAACCUCAAAUUAAAUAGCCACGCCCAUCGAGGAGCUUCUUUGAGUGCGGAGAUGCAGGCCAUGUUAGGAAGUUUUGUCCUAGAUUACAGAGUAGUAUGCCACAGUAGGGUACUCGUGCCAUGAUUCCGGCACCGAUUUCUACACUACACGCUCAGCGUGCUAGAGGUAGAGGUCAGCCAGCUAGGGGUGGAGGCCAGUCAGUGAGAGGUCGUCCUAGCUGUGGAGGACAGGUUGGUAGGCCCAACCCCAUUGUUAUUCAUUCAUGAUAACAACAAGGUCAGAGAUCCAAACUAGAGUAAGAAUUUGAGAAGUAAAUGCGGAAGCAAUAACAUUAAGCAAUUGAACAACUAGAAUUAAAGUGUAGAAAAAUAAAGGAUAUAGAAAAAUUCAAGGAAAGAAUUCCAAGACCUUCCGAGAACGCAAGUUCUAUAGCCUUGACAAGUUCCAAGCAGCAACAUUUUGAUUUAUUGACGAAAUCAAACGCCUUUACUUAAAAAUAAAUCAAAAUAAUAGAUUCGGAUCUUGACCCCUUUACGAGUAACUUGAGACAAUAAUUAAUAACUUGUAUUAAUCGUCUUCUAAGAAUACCACAAAGUAAUUAAUUAUAUCACAAUAAAGAAGUUAUCUUACUACCUUGAACUAUGAACUAGUAAAGGUUAAAAGAUAUUUCUCAAAGCAUAAGUAACAAAGGUUCAAAAAAACUCUCAAGUAUAAUAUUCUUAAUCAAUUAUGAAGUGCCUCAAUGAAUUAGAAGAACUCCUUAUUUAUAGGAGUAAAAGUCCUUAAAAUUAGGUGGGGUGGUUGCUAAGGGGUAACAAAAGUCAUCAAAAUUAGGUAGGGGCUGCUAAGGGGUAACAAAAGUCAUCAAAAUUAGGUAGAGUGGUUGCUAAGAAAUAAGAAAAGUCACAAAAUUAGGUAGGGGCGGACAAAUCCCUUUGGGGUAGAUUUGGGACUUAAAACUACUAGUUUGGGCCAUUGGUUUGGACUCCAGUUGGGCUCCUUUUUAAACACCCCUCUUUUGGACCUCUUUUAAGCUCAUUUUGAGCUCUUCUGGGUGCCCUUUUGCUAGAUUUCAAGGGCCGAGUUCGGGAUCCAAUCUUCCUUCUCUUGGAUUUCAAUUUGGGCCACUAAAUAAUUGUAAAACUUGUACAAUUUAUCUCCUUUGGUCUUGAGCUCGUCCUCCACAAUUAAAAGCUUCUUUAUUUGCCAUUGAAGUCCAGUAACCUUAGUCUGCAACUCUUUAGCUUGAGAUCUUAUAAAUAGCCUUCUUGGAUCUUUCAAAACUCUAACCUUGUCCUUGAUGAUAUCAUUCCCCUCUUCUUGGAGAGAAUUUAUCCCCGAAUUCGGUCCUACAUCAAACAAAGACAAGUCAACAACAUUGAAUGUAGCACUUACUUGAAACUCACCAAGAAGGUCAAGCUUGUUUUGGAAGGAAAUAUCUCUUUUCUAAAGUGAACUCAAACUAAAUCUCCAGGUUUAAAAACAACUUGUUUUCGACCCUUAUUCUUUCUUAAGGAAGUUUGCUCAUUUUUCUUCUCAAUUGCAAGCCUUGUUUGCUCAUAAAUUUUUUUCAUCUCUCAGCCUUUGUCCUACUACCAAUAUUAGCAAUAUCAUUAGUAGGUAAUGGUAAUAAAUCAAGGGGAGUAAAGGGAAUAAAAUCAUAAACAACCUCAAAAGGAGACAUACCUGUAGAAGAAUGGAUUGUUCUAGUAUAAGCAAAUUCAAUUAUAGGUAAGUUGUCUUCCCAAGAAGUUAAUUUACCUUUCAAAACAACCCUCAAAAUGUUUCCCAAGGUUAUAUUAACUACUUCUGUUUGUCCAUCAGUUUGUGGGUGACAAGAAGUAGAAAAUAACAAUUUAAUGCCUAACUUUCCCCAAAAUACACGCCAAAAGUAGCUCAAAAACUUAGCAUCCCUAUCACUAACAAUAGUUCUAGGUCUACCAUACAAUUUAACAACUUCUUUUACAAAAAGAUCAGCAACAUCUGAAGCAUCAUUAAUCUUUAAACAAGGAAUAAAAUGAGCCAUUUUGGAGAACCUAUCUACCACAACAAAUAUAUUAUCCUUAUCAUACCUUGUUCUAGGCAAACCUAACACAAAAUCCAUAGAAAUGUCAAUCUAAUGUGAAGUAGGAUCAGGCAAUGGCGUGUAAAGACCAUGUGGUAACACUUUAGAUUUAGCUUGUUUACAUUUCAAACACUGUGCACACAUUCUUUCAACAUCGUUUCUUAUUCCAGGCCAAAAAAAAA
Molecule: long non-coding RNA, 33438 nt
Filed under: Nicotiana tabacum (common tobacco)
Lineage: Eukaryota; Viridiplantae; Streptophyta; Magnoliopsida; Solanales; Solanaceae
Description: long non-coding RNA (NTAB_LNC003639)
Source: RNAcentral